GCUGGGUGUGGUGGCCCACACCUGUAAUCCCAGCUACUUGGGAGGCUGAGGCAGGAGAAUCACUUGAAUCCGGGAGGUGGAGGUUGCAGUGAGCCGGGAUCGCACCACUGCACUCCAGCCUGGGUGACAGAGUGAGACUCUGUCUCCA
Unclassified non-coding RNA from Pongo abelii (Sumatran orangutan), 148 nucleotides. It matches the Rfam family "Metazoan signal recognition particle RNA". Rfam says of the family: The signal recognition particle (SRP) is a universally conserved ribonucleoprotein. It is involved in the co-translational targeting of proteins to membranes. The record is from Ensembl. Lineage: Eukaryota; Metazoa; Chordata; Mammalia; Primates; Hominidae.